Non-coding RNA from Plectropomus leopardus (leopard coralgrouper), 424 nucleotides. The record is from the annotation of a RefSeq genome assembly. Lineage: Eukaryota; Metazoa; Chordata; Actinopteri; Perciformes; Serranidae.
CUCACUUUCCAAGUUACAAGACCAUUCUCAGCACCACACUGACAACAUGCUGGGGACGCUCUGCACUCUCAUCACUGCUCUAACGUUUGUGAGUGGUGUGACGGUGGUGACACAGAAGCCUCCUGUUGUGAUGCAGAGGAAAGGAGAGACAGCCACCAUGGACUGUAACUUGGGGACUGUUACAGAUGAAUCAGCUCGGUGGUAUAAACAGAUUCCAGGAGGAGUUCCUCAGUUUGUACUGAGGUUUCGUCACGACUGGAGCUCUGUAAAAUAUGGCUCUGGUUUCUCCUCUCCAAAAUUCACAUCUAAUCAUCAGUCACAAUCAGAUUAUCGUUUGAUCAUCAACAAUGUGGAGGAGGGAGACUCAGCAGUCUACUACUGUGAAACAUGGGACAGCUCUGUCAAACAGACUGUAUCACAGUGA